ACUCAAAGGAAUAGACGGGGACCCGCACAAGCGGUGGAGCAUGUGGAUUAAUUCGAAGCAACGCGAAGAACCUUACCAAGGCUUGACAUCCCGCUGAAUACUGUAGAGAUAGAGUAGGCCCUUCGGGGACGGCGGAGACAGGUGGUGCAUGGUUGUCGUCAGCUCGUGUCGUGAGAUGUUGGGUUAAGUCCCGCAACGAGCGCAACCCCUAUCUUUAGUAGCGACCGCGUAGAGGCGAGCACAUUAGAGAGACUGCCGUGGAUAACACGGAGGAAGGUGGGGACGAUGUCAAAUCAUCAUGCCCCUUAUGUCUUGGGCAUCACACGUGCUACAAUGGCUCCAACAGAGUGAAGCGAGACCGCGAGGUGGAGCAAAUCACAAAAAGGGGUCCCAGUUCGGAUUGCAGCCUGCAACUCGGCUGCAUGAAGUCGGAAUCGCUAGUAAUCGCGAAUCAGCAUGUCGCGGUGAAUACGUUCCCGGGUCUUGUACACACCGCCCGU
This 500-nucleotide ribosomal RNA is filed under the name uncultured bacterium. RNAcentral describes it as "bacterial SSU rRNA". It matches the Rfam family "Bacterial small subunit ribosomal RNA", at positions 899 to 1397 of the family's 1533-position model. The record is from RNAcentral.